UGUGAGUUAAAUGAGCCCAAUAGGGUAAGG
RNAcentral lists this non-coding RNA (30 nucleotides) under Mus musculus (house mouse). Lineage: Eukaryota; Metazoa; Chordata; Mammalia; Rodentia; Muridae. The record is from RNAcentral.